AGCGAACGCUGGCGGCAGGCUUAACACAUGCAAGUCGAGCGGGCAUCCUUGUGGUGUCAGCGGCAGACGGGUGAGUAACGCGUGGGAACGUGCCCUUCGGUUCGGAAUAACUCAGGGAAACUUGAGCUAAUACCGGAUACAUGCGAGAGCAGAAAGGUUUAUCUGCCGAAGGAUCGGCCCGCGUCUGAUUAGCUAGUUGGUGAGGUUACGGCUCACCAAGGCGACGAUCAGUAGCUGGUCUGAGAGGAUGAUCAGCCACACUGGGACUGAGACACGGCCCAGACUCCUACGGGAGGCAGCAGUGGGGAAUAUUGGACAAUGGGGGCAACCCUGAUCCAGCCAUGCCGCGUGAGUGAUGACGGCCUUAGGGUUAUAAAGCUCUUUUCUCCGGGACGAUAAUGACGGUACCGGAGGAAUAAGCCCCGGCUAACUUCGU
RNAcentral lists this ribosomal RNA (436 nucleotides) under uncultured bacterium. RNAcentral's name for it is "partial 16S ribosomal RNA". It matches the Rfam family "Bacterial small subunit ribosomal RNA", at positions 29 to 506 of the family's 1533-position model. The record is from RNAcentral.